Molecule: ribosomal RNA, 468 nt
Filed under: uncultured bacterium
Lineage: Bacteria
Description: partial 16S ribosomal RNA
Rfam family: Bacterial small subunit ribosomal RNA
Source: RNAcentral
GACGAACGCUGGCGGCGUGCUUAACACAUGCAAGUCGAACGGAAAGGCCCUGCUUUUGUGGGGUGCUCGAGUGGCGAACGGGUGAGUAACACGUGAGUAACCUGCCCUUGACUUUGGGGUAACUUCAGGAAACUGGGGCUAAUACCGGAUAGGAGCUCCUGCUGCAUGGGGGGGGUUGGAAAGUUUCGGCGGUUGGGGAUGGACUCGCGGCUUAUCAGCUUGUUGGUGGGGUAGUGGCUUACCAAGGCUUUGACGGGUAGCCGGCCUGAGAGGGUGACCGGCCACAUUGGGACUGAGAUACGGCCCAGACUCCUACGGGAGGCAGCAGUGGGGAAUAUUGCACAAUGGGCGGAAGCCUGAUGCAGCAACGCCGCGUGCGGGAUGACGGCCUUCGGGUUGUAAACCGCUUUCGCCUGUGACGAAGCGUGAGUGACGGUAAUGGGUAAAGAAGCACCGGCUAACUACGUG